Molecule: ribosomal RNA, 205 nt
Filed under: uncultured bacterium
Lineage: Bacteria
Description: partial 16S ribosomal RNA
Rfam family: Bacterial small subunit ribosomal RNA
Source: RNAcentral
CGCGUAGGCGGAUCGUUAAGUCAGAGGUGAAAUCCCGGAGCUCAACUUCGGAACUGCCUUUGAUACUGGCGAUCUUGAGUAUGAGAGAGGUAUGUGGAACUCCGAGUGUAGAGGUGAAAUUCGUAGAUAUUCGGAAGAACACCAGUGGCGAAGGCGACAUACUGGCUCAUUACUGACGCUGAGGCGCGAAGCGUGGGAGCAAACA